ACGGGUGAGUAAUGCCUAGGAAUCUGCCUGGUAGUGGGGGAUAACGUUCGGAAACGAACGCUAAUACCGCAUACGUCCUACGGGAGAAAGCAGGGGACCUUCGGGCCUUGCGCUAUCAGAUGAGCCUAGGUCGGAUUAGCUAGUUGGUGAGGUAAUGGCUCACCAAGGCGACGAUCCGUAACUGGUCUGAGAGGAUGAUCAGUCACACUGGAACUGAGACACGGUCCAGACUCCUACGGGAGGCAGCAGUGGGGAAUAUUGGACAAUGGGCGAAAGCCUGAUCCAGCCAUGCCGCGUGUGUGAAGAAGGUCUUCGGAUUGUAAAGCACUUUAAGUUGGGAGGAAGGGCAGUUACCUAAUACGUGAUUGUUUUGACGUUACCGACAGAAUAAGCACCGGCUAACUCUGUGCCAGCAGCCGCGGUAAUACAGAGGGUGCAAGCGUUAAUCGGAAUUACUGGGCGUAAAGCGCGCGUAGGUGGUUUGUUAAGUUGGAUGUGAAAUCCCCGGGCUCAACCUGGGAACUGCAUUCAAAACUGACUGACUAGAGUAUGGUAGAGGGUGGUGGAAUUUCCUGUGUAGCG
Molecule: ribosomal RNA, 582 nt
Filed under: uncultured Pseudomonas sp.
Lineage: Bacteria; Pseudomonadati; Pseudomonadota; Gammaproteobacteria; Pseudomonadales; Pseudomonadaceae
Description: bacterial SSU rRNA
Rfam family: Bacterial small subunit ribosomal RNA
Source: RNAcentral